UACUAGCCAGUCUUCAGAGCCAGGGAGAGUCUGAUGCUAAAUAAAGAGAGAUUCCCCGCAAACUGCUUAUGAUUCCAGAAUAAUUGAUUAUCCAAUAAGAAAGGAGCAGCAGCACCGGGGCCAUGUUCCAUGAUGUCACUGAUGCAGAUUGAACACCGAAAAUGCCGUUUAGCAUGCCGACCUGACCGGGGUUAGAAGAGAUCGACUAGAAGGGAAGAUGUGGGUGGAGGUGUGUUGAGUGUAGACCCGUAGGAUCUACAGUACCAAACACCCCCCGAAGUCCUCCAUCCAACACAUGUACCUGAUCAACAGCACAUCCUAGAAACUGAACCUCAAGAAGAAGAAGUGGAAGAAGAACAAGAAGAAGAAGAAGAAGAGGAAGAAGAUGAUGAAGAAGAGGAAG
Non-coding RNA from Salvelinus sp. IW2-2015, 403 nucleotides. Lineage: Eukaryota; Metazoa; Chordata; Actinopteri; Salmoniformes; Salmonidae. The record is from RefSeq and is a predicted model, not a curated record.